Molecule: ribosomal RNA, 193 nt
Filed under: uncultured bacterium
Lineage: Bacteria
Description: partial 16S ribosomal RNA
Rfam family: Bacterial small subunit ribosomal RNA
Source: RNAcentral
CAACUCGCCUGCAUGAAGUCGGAAUUGCUAGUAAUCNCGGAUCAGCAUGCCGCGGUGAAUACGUUCCUGGGCCUUGUACACACCGCCCGUCACACCAUGAGAGCCGGUAACACCCGAAGUCAAUAGUCCAACCGCAAGGAGGACAUUGCCGAAGGUGGGAUUGGUAAUUGGGGUGAAGUCGUAACAAGGUACC